AUGAAGCCUUUCCUUUUACACACACAGAAACAAAUUUGAGAUCACCCAUAUUCUUACAACUCAGUUUUCUAGAGUGAACAUUUGCCAAAAAACCCUUCUAACCUAAAUAAGAUUAUAGAUUAUCUUGUAAAUUGGGUUAAUUAGUAUAGUGUUGGGUAUAUCAAUCCAUAAAAAUAUAAAAAUAGAAUGGAUGAAUAAAUAAAUUGUUGAUGACAGGGAAAACUGAUGACUUUUAAUCUGAAUGCAGGUAAAAACAUUAAAAUCCCCAGUAACAUCAUGUUAGGCUUGUGCAGUAAUGUCUUUAAUUUACAAAACAAUUUCUCCAUUGCACUUUCCUUCCACUCUUGGGGAUAAAUUUGAUUGUAACUAGUUAUCUGAACAUUUUAAUUUAAAAUUCUAAUCUACAUCUCUGGAGACUGGAGAACAUACCACACACACACACACACACACACACACACACACACACACACACAGAGAGAGAGAGAGAGAGAGAGAGAAGAAAAAAAAGCAGUGGAAAUCCCACAAUCCCACAAAGAAUAUUUUGGUAACAAAUUACAGCACAAAGAUAUGUUUGUUUGUUUACUGUAUUUUGUGUUUGCUGCACCUGGUAAGAGGUGAUUUUUUACCAUCAUUUAAUUUAACUUUCUAAAGAUCCACACUGUUCUAGGUAAUAUGGUUAGUAGACAACCCUUCUACCUGUAAAUUUUUAGUACAAGUAGGUUCAUUUUUUAAAAUAACUUACUUGCUUGUGUUCAUAAUAUACUCAGAUUAGUUCAGCUCCAUCAGAUAAACUGGAGACAUGCAGGACAUUAGGGUAGCUUUGAAAUAAAAGAAUAACAAUCUCUUAGUUACAAACAUAACUAUGGAAUCAAAUAAUUCUAAUUUCUAGAUUGCUGGUGAUGUCAGUAGGCCCACUUAGCAUUGGUCAAAUGCCAAGCAAUGUGUAAUUCUUCAAAAAAUACCUGACCAAGACUAUGAGAUGGUCAGAUGCAAUCAAUGCUUUUAAAUGAGUUUUCAUUAAAACACGCAGUUUGAGAGAGGCCUCUCAAAACUGAGGUUUGAAAACAUUUUUGUGGGUUGACAGUCCUUGUAAAAACAAUCCAUGUGCAAGGCUGUACUCCAAAGUAAUUGGUCGUUAAAAAUGUAAAUUUCCAGGGAUUUCUUUGUUUUUGUUUUUUGUUUUUUUUUUUUUUUUUUAACAGAAUUUGGCUCUUGUCGCCAGGCUGGAGUGCAAUGGUGUGAUCUCAGCUCACUGCAACCUCCACCUCCCAGGUUCAAGCAAUUCUCCUGCCUCAGCCUCUGAAGUAGCUGGGAUUACAGGUGUGCACCACCACACCUGGCUAAUUUUUGUAUUUUUAUUAGAGACUGGGUUUCACCAUGUUGGACAGGCUGGUCUGAAACUCCUGACCUCAGGUGAUGCACCCACCUUGGCCUCCCAAAGUGUCCAGGGAUAUUUUGAUUUUUUAUGUUGCCUACAUGGUUUUAUAGAGUCCUUAAAACUGUCCAGUACAAUGCCCGCUUUCCCAUUUUACAGAAAGAAGAAACAGAUUGAGAGUUGUCAUGCACUUAUUCAGGGUAAUUUUGGCCAGCACAUAUGCCAGAUGUGGGCUUACCCUACUGCUAAGGAUCACAGGCAAAUGCAAGAUUCACAGUCUUUACAGGCACAACUAAAAGGCAUUUCAAGUCCUUUAAAUAAAAAGGAAAUCUUUUUAAGGAGAAACAAUAAAUAUGUCCAUGCAUACAGCUGUCAAUUGCUGGAGUUUGGGUUCCAACCCAUGUCUACUGGAUUCCAACGCCCCCUUUCCUUCAUUUCCCUAUAUCCUAGAUCCAGUUCCAGUUGUAGUUCAUCUGAAUAGUGAAGGUUAAUAUGUACAGAGUAAUGUCUUUGAAUGUAGGACAGCAGGAACAUUCGAGGCUGUAAGUGCUAGACAUGGUUUCCCAGUGUCUCUUACAAGUAGCAGUGUCUAUGUGACACAGUUCUGUCUAAUACAACCUAAGCACAAGUGUGGAGGUUUCUGGGAAAGCCUUUAUUUCCUGAUUCUAGCCCUAAGCCUUAUUUCUCCUUUCUUUCCUUCCUGAAGCAGACAUAGAAAGGGAGGUGAAGUAGCCCUCUUGGGACCAUGAGGUGUGGAGCAUAAAGAGGAAGGUCUAUAUGCUUAGACACAGCUGCCUGGGAGGGUGGGAAUAGCCUGCUGGCAACAUUGAGGGGCUAAAUGGGGUUGGAUGCUUUUUCUCACAGGCUCUUAUAAGUAACUUUUUAAGGUUUUUCUGUUAUUUACUCUAUCCUGAGAUAGAUAGAUGAUAGAUAGGUGAUAGAUAGAUGAUAGAUAGAUAGAUAGAGGAUAGAUAGAUAGAUAGAUAGAUAGAUAGAUAGAUAGAUGAUAGAUAGAUAGUGUGUGUAUAUAUAUAUAUGUGCAAAAUACAUUUUUAUUAAGAAAUAAACUUACAGUCAUCAGUUUCCUAUGAGAGUUUUAGGCAUACUUUAGUGGCACUUGAAUUAGAUAGUCUAAGGAUUGAAGUGAUUAUUUGAGUGUUUAUACUAGAUGGUUUACCACAGGAAAUCUUUGUACCACUGAAAGAGGAGUCAUAUAUUGAAAAGCAGUGAAUACAGAUUCUGGGUCCAGAAGCCCUGCCUCCACGGAUUUUGUGGAGGACAGGAUGAGGGAUGUGGGUCAGGAUGGGCUCUGCCGAGCUGCUUUCUGCAUCUGGGGGUGCAUCUUUGUCUUGUCCAAGUUGUAAGUUUCCUGGGCAUUGCCCUCGUCCUUCUGUGUUGGAAUCUCCAUUUCAUAGAGCACUCCUUUCAGCUUUGUCCCAGAUGACAGGUGGCCUCUGAGCUUCUACAGCCCCAUAUUGAAUUCCUUUGCUUGUGGCCUUCUACCUGCACCAUCUUCCAGCGCCAACUUUGUCUAUAGGGCUUUGCCAACAGUUGUAAGAGAAACUUAUUUUUAAAAUAUAUAAAACCCUGCUCUUUUAUAUUUUACCACUAAUCUCUUUUCCUAGUUUUGUAUUUUCUACAAAAUUCUUAUUGUUUCCCAUGAUCUGUCAACAACAGGCAACUCAUACCUGAUCCCAAUGACAGUCGGUGCUACAUUGGAUCUGUUUUUUUUCUAGUUUUUUUUUUAAAUUAUUAUUUCAUUGAGAUUUGGAGAAUAAGAAGAAGUAAACACUUUUAUUCAAGCCUCCAGUGCUGACUCUCCCCAGAUGCCUUUGGAACUGCUCCAGAUGUUUAUGCUUUCCUUUCAGGUUAUCAUGCUGCUUUAUCCAGAAGAAUCAAACAAGAAAUGAAGGGCCAUCGUGAUCUUCAAAAAGUCUUCUUCUCAGCAAACUGCUGGAAAUACUGCUGUAGCUCUGGUAAUGAUGGUUGCCUCUCAGAUAGGGCUGCCUUCAGCUCCGGUGGCAAAUUAGCAAUGAAUUCCAACAUGAUAAUUAUAGUUUCUGUAUCUUUGUUGAUGAAGGAUGGUACAAUUUCUGUUAA
This 3475-nucleotide long non-coding RNA is filed under the name Homo sapiens (human). RNAcentral describes it as "HSALNT0146292". Lineage: Eukaryota; Metazoa; Chordata; Mammalia; Primates; Hominidae. The record is from RNAcentral.